This 71-nucleotide transfer RNA is filed under the name Marmota monax (woodchuck). Its description in RNAcentral is "tRNA.Ala". The record is from RNAcentral. Lineage: Eukaryota; Metazoa; Chordata; Mammalia; Rodentia; Sciuridae.
GGUUGUGGCUCAGUGGUAGAGCUCUCGCCUAGCACGUGCAUGCGAGGCUCUGGGUUUGAGCCCCAGCACCA